GACGAACGCUGGCGGCGUGCUUAACACAUGCAAGUCGAACGAAGAGCGAUGGAAGCUUGCUUCUAUCAAUCUUAGUGGCGAACGGGUGAGUAACGCGUAAUCAACCUGCCCUUCAGAGGGGGACAACAGUUGGAAACGACUGCUAAUACCGCAUACGAUCUAAUCUCGGCAUCGAGGAUAGAUGAAAGGUGGCCUCUACAUGUAAGCUAUCACUGAAGGAGGGGAUUGCGUCUGAUUAGCUAGUUGGAGGGGUAACGUCCCACCAAGGCGAUGAUCAGUAGCCGGUCUGAGAGGAUGAACGGCCACAUUGGGACUGAGACACGGCCCAGACUCCUACGGGAGGCAGCAGUGGGGAAUCUUCCGCAAUGGACGAAAGUCUGACGGAGCAACGCCGCGUGAGGGAUGACGGCCUUCGGGUUGUAAAGCUCUGUUAAUCGGGACGAAAGGCCUUCUUGCGAAUAGUGAGAAGGAUUGACGGUACCGGAAUAGAAAGCCACGGCUAACUACGUG
RNAcentral lists this ribosomal RNA (510 nucleotides) under uncultured bacterium. RNAcentral describes it as "partial 16S ribosomal RNA". It matches the Rfam family "Bacterial small subunit ribosomal RNA", at positions 28 to 507 of the family's 1533-position model. The record is from RNAcentral.